AAACAGAUGGAAAAGGUCACUUUAAAAUAUUACCUAAAUAGGUUUAUCCUAUCCUGCCAGAAGUCCUGGGCUUGAGCAAGACGCUAAACAGCUGCAACCCCUACCUCAGAUGCCCUGUUUCUACAGCCUUCCUGUAGGUAUUAAAAAUAGGCCCAGAUCAAUGCA
Tinamus guttatus (white-throated tinamou) is the source of this 165-nucleotide non-coding RNA. NCBI's taxonomy places the organism in Eukaryota, Metazoa, Chordata, Aves, Tinamiformes, Tinamidae. The record is from RefSeq and is a predicted model, not a curated record.